Molecule: non-coding RNA, 23 nt
Filed under: Rattus norvegicus (Norway rat)
Lineage: Eukaryota; Metazoa; Chordata; Mammalia; Rodentia; Muridae
Source: RNAcentral
UAUUGAUAAGUGAGGUGUACUUC